AUAUAUACAUAUAAAAAUUUAGAACUCAGUAACUUAAAAGACUAGAAUCCCGAACCCAUAAGCUUCAAAUCCUUGCUCCGCCUCUACAAGUAUCCUACAAUUCAAGGUAAAGAACACUAUGGAAAACUUAUUUGCUUAUAUAUAUAUAUAUA
Molecule: long non-coding RNA, 152 nt
Organism: Lycium ferocissimum
Lineage: Eukaryota; Viridiplantae; Streptophyta; Magnoliopsida; Solanales; Solanaceae
Exons: 2
Source: RefSeq, a predicted model, not a curated record